Molecule: ribosomal RNA, 505 nt
Filed under: uncultured bacterium
Lineage: Bacteria
Description: partial 16S ribosomal RNA
Rfam family: Bacterial small subunit ribosomal RNA
Source: RNAcentral
GACGAACGCUGGCGGCGUGCCUAAUACAUGCAAGUAGAACGCACAGUUUAUACCGUAGCUUGCUGCACCAUAGACUGUGAGUUGCGAACGGGUGAGUAACGCGUAGGUAACCUGCCUGGUAGCGGGGGAUAACUAUUGGAAACGAUAGCUAAUACCGCAUAAUAUUGAUUAUUGCAUGAUAAUUAAUUGAAAGGUGCAAUUGCACCACUACCAGAUGGACCUGCGUUGUAUUAGCUAGUAGGUGAGGUAACGGCUCACCUAGGCGACGAUACAUAGCCGACCUGGGAGGGUGAUCGGCCACACUGGGACUGAGACACGGCCCAGACUCCUACGGGAGGCAGCAGUAGGGAAUCUUCGGCAAUGGACGAAAGUCUGACCGAGCAACGCCGCGUGAGUGAAGAAGGUUUUCGGAUCGUAAAGCUCUGUUGUAAGAGAAGAACGGGUGUGAGAGUGGAAAGUUCACACUGUGACGGUAUCUUACCAGAAAGGGACGGCUAACUACGUG